Long non-coding RNA from Oreochromis aureus, 314 nucleotides. RefSeq lists it as uncharacterized. The record is from RefSeq and is a predicted model, not a curated record. The transcript is spliced from 3 exons. Lineage: Eukaryota; Metazoa; Chordata; Actinopteri; Cichliformes; Cichlidae.
UGACUGAUGACCUUUAAAAUGUAUUCAAAACUGAAUAUUUUCCUAAAUCAGGACCAGGAGCUCAAUGUCAGCAUGACAGGAGGGACAUGUAGACAGAGCACAGAUUGAGAGGCAGGGACGGAGACGUCACUCUGUGUUCACAGCACAAACUCCUGUGGUCCGGACAAAAGCAGCAGGCUGGCAGAUGAGACUCGCCUGGCUCCAGUCUUCGGGCUCUUCUGCCAUGUUUUGAGUUGUUGUGGACAAACAUGUUGUCAGACACGGCUAGAACGUGACCGUCUACACUCACAGUGCUGGACAGGACCACCUGAAAG